GCAUUCUGAAUUGAAGCAGGUUGAAUGCAUGCUAAAGUAGAAAAUAUAAAAAGGAAUCAGAGUUUCAUAAUACCCAAAGUACUGAUAAUAUUGAAUAUUACUUGUCAUGUCAGAAAACAGAAAAAGUCAACCAGAAUGAGAACAGGCAAUCAACAGAUGCCAAUACCAAGAUGGUACUGAUGUUGGGAUUGUCUGGCAAGGAUUUUUAAAGCAGCUAUCAUUAAAAAACAAACAAAAACACUUUUAACAAGAAACUAUGAACACUCAAAAAACAAAGGUUCAAUAAAUAAAAGAUACAAAGAAACCCCAGCCGGGUGCGAUGGAAGUUUUAGAACUUAAAAAUAUAUAUAUAUACA
Molecule: long non-coding RNA, 356 nt
Filed under: Homo sapiens (human)
Lineage: Eukaryota; Metazoa; Chordata; Mammalia; Primates; Hominidae
Description: HSALNT0263371
Source: RNAcentral